UGGGGAAUCUUCCGCAAUGGGCGAAAGCCUGACGGAGCAACGCCGCGUGAGUGAAGACGGCCUUCGGGUUGUAAAGCUCUGUUAUACGGGACGAAUAGUCUUGUGGUUAAUACCCAUGAGAAGUGACGGUACCGUAAGAGAAAGCCACGGCUAACUACGUGCCAGCAGCCGCGGUAAUACGUAGGUGGCAAGCGUUGUCCGGAAUUAUUGGGCGUAAAGCGCGCGCAGGCGGAUUGGUCAGUCUGUCUUAAAAGUUCGGGGCUUAACCCCGUGAUGGGAUGGAAACUGCCAAUCUAGAGUAUCGGAGAGGAAAGUGGAAUUCCUAGUGUAGCGGUGAAAUGCGUAGAUAUUAGGAGGAACACCAGUGGCGAAGGCGACUUUCUGGACGAAAACUGACGCUGAGGCGCGAAAGCCAGGGGAGCGAACGGGAUUAGAUACCCCGGUAGUCCUGGCCGUAAACGAUGGGUACUAGGUGUAGGAGGUAUCGACCCCCUCUGUGCCGGAGUUAACGCAAUAAGUACCCCGCCUGGGGAGUACGACCGCAAGGUUG
Molecule: ribosomal RNA, 550 nt
Filed under: uncultured bacterium
Lineage: Bacteria
Description: bacterial SSU rRNA
Rfam family: Bacterial small subunit ribosomal RNA
Source: RNAcentral